This 4548-nucleotide long non-coding RNA is filed under the name Nicotiana tabacum (common tobacco). Its description in RNAcentral is "long non-coding RNA (NTAB_LNC006797)". Lineage: Eukaryota; Viridiplantae; Streptophyta; Magnoliopsida; Solanales; Solanaceae. The record is from RNAcentral.
CUCGACAUUGUAAACAGGUCUCAAAAGUUCAAUUUUGCAAAGCAAAACAGUUCAAAAUUAAGCUGGUUUUAACAGCAAAGCAAAUUAGAAAACAACAUUCAUCCUAAGAUUAGUCAAAUACAACUCCCUUUCUCAUAUAGAUGCAGACAUACAUACAUUGGUACACUCCUUCAUAUUAUUUAUUUCUCAUAUAAUUUGGCUAAAGCAUAAAAUAGAAAGACCAUCGCAGCAUAAGUAAUAUCCCGUCUUUAGCUUGGGAAACUUGAUGCAAGUCAAGACAGAAAUGCUUAUGCAUCGGUUCUUUCUGCAGAAUGGCUUGAAUCUCCCACUUGCAUCUCUGUUCAAGUUCAUAUAAAAUUCAGUUCUAAUAUGCACAAUUGAGCAUUCCAGUAUUCUUAAUUAAAGAGAUGAGCAUUUGACAAAUAAAUAGAUGCAUUAGUUAGCACUACAAGAUAGUCCACUUACUGAAGGGCAUGAGUAUUUGUGUGGGAUUCGAACUACUAACUAUUGAUUUCACAACAACAAUCUGAAAUAAUAUUAGCAAAAGGUGUCAAAUAAGUAUGAAAUUUUGAAAUACAUAAACUUAAGAGCCUGAUAAGACAAAAUUCUCAUGCUUACUUGCAAGGUGUUUGGUAAGAUCAAAUUAAGCACUAAAAAAACCCUACUAAAAGUAGAAUCCAAUGCCACUAACAAAAGUGUCAAAACCCAAACCAUUACAGUUUACAAGCAACAUAUUACUCACUUCUGCAAUUAUCCAAGUUGAGAAGAAUAGUUAAAGCUGGAUUUGGUAUCAAAAUAUUAUCCAAUUAUUAACCAAAUGCUUUAAAACUGAAGAAUAAUUGCUCCAUCUUUGGUUUCUCUUGCUUCCAUGUAAACCUAUGAUACAUAAAGCCUUGGAAGACAGUUCAGCAAUUUAAAUAAAAUCUGGAAAAAACACAAAUAAAAUAGAAGCAAAAAAGCACAAUCUGUGCAACUAAAGGAAUAACCAGUCCUGCAAAAGCGACAAUGAUAAAUUUUUCAGUAGUUCAUCUGAGUCCCCGUACAUCUCAGAACUUGUGCAACAAAAUCCAACUUAGACAUUACUUGCUUUCCCUAAAUUGGAAAAAGGGGGAAAAGUGAAAGAGUUGGUCAUCGGAUGAGGUUACAACAUGAUUUUAGGUGUGAAAAUGAACAGUACUUUAAAAUACUUACUGCAGGAAUAUCGAUGGUUGUUAGCGCCAUCUCCUAAGGCGUAGAGAAAAUUUUCCUAAUAGAGAUCUCGUCAAACACUUUUAUGAUCAACAGCGAUAACCCCUAAUAUUACAAACCGAUAGAAAGAGAAAUGGAUUGUAUCUUAAAUAAUAUGAUGGGCUAUUAUACUUCAUUGGUGGUGCGGAAGAUCUACAAACAUGAGGUUACCAACUAUAUUCAAUUUUCAGUUUCUCAACACAAGUUUAUGUAGAGUUGAUUGUUCUUUUCCUAUGAUUAUAUUCUCAUAAAUUAUCUUAAAAUCCUCCACUUCAGAGUAUCAUCUAUCUGCGAUGCGUCAUCAUUCCUCAUGUUCUUUUAAUAUAAUUGAAAUUAACCUGCUUUUUUCUAAUUUUCACUUAUUAAGGCUCUAGAGAAAUUAAACCCUUCGUUUCUAAAGUACCAUAUGAGCUGGCAAGUAGUACUAUAUUUUCACCGACUGACCAAAGCAAUAAUUCCUAAACAGACUGAAGGCACCUAACAAAUAACAAACUCAACUUACUCCAGAUUAUUACUUCUGUAAUGUACCAGUAUUUUUUUUUUUUGAAAUGGUGAGUAAGUUAUAUAUUAAAUAGAGGAAUAUCUUAGCAGUAAUGUACCAAUAUCUUCUAAAGAAUCAAAGUAGAGCGAAAAGGAUCUGAGUAGAGAGCUAUAAAAUUUGAUAAAAGGCCAUAUGUCCAUGAGAGAGGAUGAACUUCUAAAACUGUUUUAGGUUACUGUAUCUCAAAUGUUCAAGAAAAGUUGAUCAAUAAAAAAUAUGUCGGGUUCUCUUCCUUUGGAAGGGAAAGGAUGGUAAAAAAUAUUUGGUACUGCUUGUGCUUAGAAAUUAAAAAACUUGUAACACGACAUCUCUAAAUCCUAUGAUCCCACUCUAUCCUCCUCACUCACCCCAUUCAAUCAAAACUACCAACUCAACUAUGGAAACUCCUGAAAGACCAAAAGGAGAAUUCUAAAACAGAUAUAGCAUAUAAUUUCAUUGCUCAUACUUGAAAUUUAAUGGCUGUAAGCCAAAGAAACUACUGCUACUUAUAGGAUUGACUAUGCGUAUUUACAUCCUGUCAAAUUUCAGAUGUAAAGCACCUGACCAUCUUUCAUUGUCGUCAAACCAAAUGGCCUUUCAUUAUGCUUUUUUAUAUACAUCCUUGAAAAUAUGAGUAACCAGGGACUUGUAUGUUUGAUAUAAUAAAAUACUUGCACUAUUCUUUUUGGACUCACUAUCUGCAUUUUCUUCCACCAUGUCACAUCAACAACGACAGUAUAACACUCAUAGUUGCUUACCUUGUUCGCCAGAGCUUUAAUUAUUAUGCACUCUUCACUCCAAUAAAAACCAAAUUUCAGCAGAUGAAACAUAGGAUCCAGCUAGCAAAGAAGUAUUAUAGUUGUGAAAGAGUUAAAGGAUGGUUCUAGAAGCAUGGAACUCGAAAAGUACUAAAGAGAAUUUGCCACAUCUCCAAGAAAAAUUAUGUCAUUAUUUAGAUUCCCUUAUCCUUAAAAAACAGUAGAAAACAGGAUCAUAUGAGAAGAACUUUAAUGACAAGGAAGUUAGAACUACACAACAUACAAUAUAGAGAGAGAUGGUAUCUUAUAUAUACAUAGAAUUGAUUUAGUAAAAACUAAUAGAUGAGGUUUACAGAUUAAUACUUUAACACUUGGUGUAUCUGCUUUGUAUUUGCUUAAAUGUUCUUGCUUUUAUCCUUUUUUCUCUUCUUUCUAUUCUUAUGUUUCUGCUGUCUUACGGCUACUUAAUCUUUUCUAUGCUCUCACCUUCAACUUCAAAGAAAGAACAUGUAAAUACCUACAAUCCCUAUAAGAAUGGAAAGCUAUUAAUCAAUGGCCUACACAACCUUGUACCAGUUCCUUCAGCUAAAGAAUCUGGUGCAAGAAUGGAAGCCUUCUAUUGGAAGAAUCAAUGUUAUUCUCGAUGUGCAUGACUUACAGUUCUAGCUUCAAUUGACUAUUAGUAUUCUGUAAAGCUUCUUCUGAAGGCAUCAGCCGACGAAGUAGAAAGAUGAGGACCAUGGAUUGUUAUCUGUAACAAAUAAAACAAAUACAUCAACAAAUGAAACAACAUAGAACAAUCAGAUGUGACAUCAUACACCAAUCAAAUGUGACAUUCAUAUACGAAACUAAACCAUGUAAGCUGCACAUGGAAAGUAAAUAUUCAUGAAAUACCAUUGUCCCGAAAAAACAUCUAGAAUUAGAAAAAAACAAGCAGAAAGAUACCAAACAACGUUAUAAUCCAAGCACGUUUUGUAGUUCAUAGUAUGUCACUUUUCUAAACAGAGAAUGAACUUCUUUAGCAUCGGAGCAUCUAAGUUUCAAACUGGAAUGAACAUCAACUAUGUACCUGUAAAAGAUUGAGAUUUGAAACCUACAAAAAGUACAAUAUUUAAAACUCAGUACAUAACCUUUUGACAAUACAGAUGAUAAUAGAAAUGAAUGAAAAGCAUCAUGCAGCCAAAGGUGAACUUCAGUAGACAUAAGUGGGUGUGUUAGUGGUACCCUAAUCAACUACUUAAUAUCAGUCACCACUCGCCAUGAUCUUAAAACUUGAUCAAGUGGAAAACUUGAAUGGUGAAGAAAGGCUAAGGGGCUAAAAUAGACACAAAGUUAACCUAAAAGAGAGACCAAGAUCAUGCUCACCUAGAAAGGUUCAAGGCUGCCGAAACCACUGGAAAUAAAAAUUAAAAUUAUGACAUGCAUAAACAAUUAGAAGCCCCAAAAAGUGCAUCAAAUAAAAACAUGAAUUAAACAAACAUGCAAGAAAAUUAAAAUUUACAUGAGAAAAUAAAAGCUCAAUUAGACCAGAUGGAGAAACAGAGCCUCUAGCAUAUCAUCAUAAAUUGUUCCCAAGGUUUUUUAUGUUUCCCAUAAAUGUCUUUGGUUGCAACAUUCUGUCCAUAUUGCACCUAAAUGGGUUUUUUUUCUGGGUAUUAUCAAAGAUCUUAUGCGGGUAAAAAUAGCAGAUAGCGAGGAAGAAUCACCAUAGUUCACAGAUACAAUGAUGUGAAUAAAUUACCCAGUAUACAAGAUACAAUGAUGUGAAUAAAUUACCCAGUAGAUUUACCAGAUAGAUAAAGAGUAACAAGAGCUCAUCUGAAAAGGUAAUACGGAAAAAAUAAGAGCGGUAUCCAAGGAUAGAAGCCAUGGUGAUUUGAAGAGAAAUCAGAAAAGCAAAUAACAGAGACUGAAUUGAAGGAAAAGAACGGUUAGGAAGAGAUUGUUGAGCGAAAGAGAAGGAAAAGCUAGUUUCGCCGUCAAAACAACCAAUGAACUGUUAGGGAACACCAAGAAUUUAGUCAGCCACAAUUUGGGUAAAUU